This 630-nucleotide ribosomal RNA is filed under the name Pseudomonas sp. Horo_39. RNAcentral describes it as "bacterial SSU rRNA". It matches the Rfam family "Bacterial small subunit ribosomal RNA", at positions 57 to 679 of the family's 1533-position model. The record is from RNAcentral. Lineage: Bacteria; Pseudomonadati; Pseudomonadota; Gammaproteobacteria; Pseudomonadales; Pseudomonadaceae.
UGCAGUCGAGCGCGAUCGAAGGGAGCUUCGCUCCUAGGAUUCGACGGCGGACGGGUGAGUAAUGCCUAGGAAUCUGCCUGGUAGGGGGGGAUGACGUCCGGAAGCGGGCGCUCAUACCGGGGACGUCCUGUCGGAGAAAGUGGGGGAUCUUCGGACCUCACGCUAUCAGAUGAGCCUAGGUCGGAUUAGCUAGUUGGUGGGGUAAAGGCCUACAGGGGGAACCAUCCGUAACUGGUCUGAGAGGAUGAUCAACUCCACUGGGAGGGACCACGGGGAAUACUCCACAAUGGGGCAAAGCUGGGGAAUAUUGGACAUGUGCGAAAGCCUGAUCCAGCCAUGCCGCGUGUGUGAAGAAGGUCUUCUGAUUGCGGUAUCAUUUAAAAUAAGAGGAAGGGCACUUCGUGCCUACCUUGCUGUUUUGACGUUAGGGGCUAACUAUGCACCGGCUUACUUCGUGCCAGGCGCCCCGGUGCUAACUUUGGUGCCAGGGGUUAAUCUCAUUAACUGGGCGUAAAGCGCGCGUAUGUGGUUCAGCAAUUUUGAUGUGAGUUCCCCGGGCUCAACCUGGGAACUGCAUCGUAAACUACUGAGCUAGAGUACGGUACAGGGUGGUGGAAUUUCCUGUGUAGC